UACGGGGGGAGCAAGCGUUGUUCGGAAUCACUGGGCGUAAAGGGCGUCUAGGCGGUUUGGUAAGUGGGAUGUGAAAUGCCCGGGCUCAACCCGGGACCUGCAUCCGAAACUGCUGAGCUUGAGUACAGGAGAGGGUGGGGGAAUUCCAGGUGUAGCGGUGAAAUGCGUAGAUAUCUGGAGGAACACCGGUGGCGAAGGCGGCCACCUGGCCUGCUACUGACGCUGAAGCUCGAAAGCUAGGGGAGCAAACAGG
RNAcentral lists this ribosomal RNA (253 nucleotides) under uncultured bacterium. RNAcentral's name for it is "partial 16S ribosomal RNA". It matches the Rfam family "Bacterial small subunit ribosomal RNA", at positions 524 to 776 of the family's 1533-position model. The record is from RNAcentral.